GCGUCUAAAUAGAGGGUGCUAUUUUAAUAGCCCAACAUGGCGAAUGUCUUGUGGUUAAUAUGAAAGCUGGCACAAAAAUGGAGGGUAUUGUCAUAAUCUCAAAGGUUACAUUUCAGCUCAGACCACAGCUGCAGCGUUAGCUGUGCUUUUCCUUUUAAGAGGAAGCAACAAAAAGAGAAGACAAGAGGCGGAGGCGAAAGCAGCGAGCAGCCCGUCUGCCACAUUAAUGCACAAUCAUUUAUUAUUAGCUAAACAUUACGGAAGCUCACUUGUGUUAUAUCCAGCUGUUGGACAAUUUCGUGACACGCCACGAGCUUAAACCCACGACAAAUACCACACAAGCGGGGCAGUCAGACGUUACUUUUAAACAUGACACACUCCUACAAGAAGCGUAAGAUUGAAGAGCCUCUCCUCCUGAUUCACUCUCCAAGCAACUCGAGCGAAGUGACGUCAGCUCCAGGGUUCGGAGAGGCUACCAUGCAAAGUUGUGUGGCAUCGUAGUCUCUAAGAUGGCAGCAUUGCAAACAUAUACAUCUAAAUAUUAUGCAACAGCAAGCUCAGUAAAGAUCACAUAUCGUGGAUCUUGGGCAUCAGUAUUUGCAAGGACACAAAUUAUAGUAAUAAACAAAUAAAUACACAUUUAAAGUAAGGUACCCAGUAAAACAGUUCAUUUAUUUGUUUGCAAUUGUAUCAAUGCCAGUAGUUACUUGUGCAUCUUGUCAAACUCUUUCAUUUGAAAUUUCCAAAAGUCUGGACUCCUAUAAGGCAAAUAUCAGCGUACUAUUGCUUUGAUGGUUCCUGGAAUAAAAUGUAUAGAAAAGU
This is a long non-coding RNA of Oreochromis niloticus (Nile tilapia), 822 nucleotides long. RefSeq lists it as uncharacterized. Lineage: Eukaryota; Metazoa; Chordata; Actinopteri; Cichliformes; Cichlidae. The transcript has 2 exons. The record is from RefSeq and is a predicted model, not a curated record.